AGGCCAUAUGCAGAUUCUUCCUUACACCAAAGAGAUGGAGAGUUCAACACCGAGAGAGUAGGAAGAAAACCGUGAAUUUUGCAUUCUGCAAUUUCUUCCGUGAAACCAAAGGAUGAAUUUGUGCACGUUGUUUGAGGUUGAGGUUGAGGCAGAAAGUGAUUGAGGUGCUAAGCUUUUGAGGUUGAGCUAUGACGAGCGCGGUGGUGUUGAGCAGAGCUGGUGAAAAUUUGUGUUUGCUUUUAAAUGUUCCGAAUAUAUUAUGUCUUCAUACAUAAUAUUAUUCUUCUCUCGAAUGCUUCCGCUGAAUGUUGUUUCUUUUGAGUUCGUGUAUUGUUAAGAUAGUUUCAUUUGGAGUUGUUGAUUGUUGAGAUAAUACUCUGA
Molecule: long non-coding RNA, 381 nt
Organism: Salvia hispanica
Lineage: Eukaryota; Viridiplantae; Streptophyta; Magnoliopsida; Lamiales; Lamiaceae
Source: RefSeq, a predicted model, not a curated record